GAAACGACCCGGCGAGGCAGAGCCUUCGGCGCCGAGGGCAGGCACGGCCGCCGCCCGCCCCGCCCCGCCGCUGUGCCGCGCUGCCGCUGCGCGUCCCGGCAGGGGGUCGAAGACGCGGGGCCCGCCGUCUUGGAGAUGCGGGGCCUGCCUUCGUCUCAAUUAGUGGGUCAAAGAGAAUUCGAGGACUCGUUCCACGAUAGACGUACAAGUCGACGUUCGAGUAGUAGAGAUCUCUUUUGACGAUCAACAUGUUUGAUCAAAAAAGAUCAACGUAGGUGAAACAGAGACAGUCGUUCGGUUCUACAGAGCGAGUAAACUAACUCACGUACCUCACUAGACCCCGAUACCUGUGGAAGAGGGGACUUCGAAUUUUGGACAUCAAAGACAAAUCUAUAACAUCCCACGACCUUACAAACCUUGAAGUCAAAACAUGAGGAAAAAACGAAAGAGAGACGUGACGCUAUCCGCCUCCGGCCACUUGUCUAAACCUUCACCGACACUACACCAGAGGAAAAUUACUUGACAAAACGUUUGAGAUCCGCAACUUAGUGUCUUGACUAUGACAUA
Molecule: ribosomal RNA, 567 nt
Filed under: Triticum aestivum (bread wheat)
Lineage: Eukaryota; Viridiplantae; Streptophyta; Magnoliopsida; Poales; Poaceae
Description: partial small subunit ribosomal RNA
Source: RNAcentral